CUUAGUGCGGACGGGUGAGUAACGCGUGGGUAACCUGCCUUGCACUGGGGGAUAACACUUAGAAAUAGGUGCUAAUACCGCAUAAGCGCACGGUCCUGCAUGGGACAGUGUGAAAAACUCCGGUGGUGCAAGAUGGACCCGCGUCUGAUUAGCUGGUUGGCGGGGUAAAGGCCCACCAAGGCGACGAUCAGUAGCCGGCCUGAGAGGGUGGACGGCCACAUUGGGACUGAGACACGGCCCAAACUCCUACGGGAGGCAGCAG
This 262-nucleotide ribosomal RNA is filed under the name uncultured bacterium. RNAcentral describes it as "partial 16S ribosomal RNA". It matches the Rfam family "Bacterial small subunit ribosomal RNA", at positions 92 to 354 of the family's 1533-position model. The record is from RNAcentral.